The sequence is a transfer RNA, 106 nucleotides long. It matches the Rfam family "tRNA". From Rfam's summary of the family: Transfer RNA (tRNA) molecules are approximately 80 nucleotides in length. The record is from Rfam.
CCGGACAUAGCUCAGUUGGAAGUAGCGAUGGUUUGUAAUUGGAAACCCUAAUCCGGCAUUAACGGAAAAGCACCAUAGGUCGCCGGUUCGAUUCCGGCUGUCCGGA